Molecule: transfer RNA, 78 nt
Filed under: Hadesarchaea archaeon
Lineage: Archaea; Methanobacteriati; Hadarchaeota (SeqCode); Hadarchaeia (SeqCode)
Also listed under: 1 other name
Description: tRNA-Pro
Rfam family: tRNA
About the family: Transfer RNA (tRNA) molecules are approximately 80 nucleotides in length. Their secondary structure includes four short double-helical elements and three loops (D, anti-codon, and T loops).
Source: RNAcentral
GGGGUCGUGGGGUAGCUUGGCCUAUCCUUCUGGCUUUGGGAGCCAGAGACCCGAGUUCAAAUCUCGGCGACCCCACCA